GGGAACCCGGUGGGAGUCCGGGGCUGACGCGCAGCGGUGUGGGGCGGCGGGAGGCCGCCCCGAGCCCGAAUGCC
This 74-nucleotide non-coding RNA is filed under the name Streptomyces sp. Lineage: Bacteria; Bacillati; Actinomycetota; Actinomycetes; Kitasatosporales; Streptomycetaceae. The record is from RNAcentral.